GUUAAGUUGAUUAUUAAGCAAAAACUGGACAGUUUUAAUUUCUUUUGUUUACUGUUGAUUAUUUCAAGUAAUUAUAUGUUAAAUAAUGUGUUUUUUAUGAAAAAUAUUUUCAUUUUAUCGUUGGUUUAGUUGAUGACUUGACUCUCUACAUUUGAAGAGGCAAAAAUUUACAUUGACGUGACCUGAAGACAUUGUCAAGUUGAUUCAAGAUGUCUUCUUAAUAUUUACUCUUUAUGUAACACAAGCAACACCUUUACUUUUGUUGACAUAAAAUAAACGGUUUGUUCGAAAUGUUAACUCUGGAUCAAAUUUAUUAUCAACAAGAAUCUCAUCGUCAACAACAUCAUCGAAAUAUGAUCAACAUUCAUGAUAAUCAAUAGCAACAUGUAAAGCAGAAGAAGAAGAAGCCCGCCACUUUGUUAAGCUGUUCAUUUUGUCACCUUUUGGAUGGUUAGAUAGAGCCUCAAGGCUGUCUGUGCUUUUGUUAAACCUUGAAUUGUUUGGAUGGAAUUGUUUUUUUAUAUAACUUGAUAAGUGUCUUAAUUUAUUUAUUUGUUUGUGACAAUCUCAUUUUUUUACUGAAAGAGUUAACGACAAAAUGUUAAACACGAAACAGACUCUAUGGAUAUUGAGCGCAAAAUAUUGUUUGCUCAGGCAAGUUAACUGUAAAAGAAAAGGCUUUGAACCAUGGAAGGAAAAUGCAUGCUGUUUCAAGUGUUAUAAUACUAACAGUUAACAAUUUGUUGUACAACUUUUCUGCAGAACCAACCGACGGGAAAAUUCAAAACUUGAUGAAAGAUAAAAGCAAAAUGGUUCAACUGAUGAUAAAAAAAGGAAUCUAAUUGGUGAAUAAAAAGUGUUACUAGACUACCAGGUUUCUCGGGUUACGUUGGAUUUAAUCAUAAACAAUGUUGGAGCUGGUAUCAUUUUUUGGGCUUAAGGAAUACAAACGAGCAGACAUUAUUCAGCUAAUGUUACCCUGGCUUAUUGUUAUUAUUGAUUGAUUGUUGGCUGUUAAGAUUUAUAUAUUUGCUGCAAACAUGAAAAUGGGAUAACAUGGCAAAAAUUGUAUAAAAGUGCCUUAAGCGGAAAGAUGAAUCUCAACUGAAAGAAGCUAAAGAAACCAAAUAAAGGAAUGGAUUUUUUUUCUUAACCAAGUAAAAAGGCGAUGAAAAACAAUAAUGAUAAUGAUAUUAUAUACAUGAUAUCAUAUAGACUACCAUAUUGGAUGAAAACCUUCAAAAGAAGUGUAAAUGUAUCAACUAAUAUUUUGUUGACAGAAUCAAAUUAUAUAAUCUGGUUACAAUGUAAAUACAAUAGUAAUUCUUGAAGUACCUAAAAUAUUAUAACCCAAUCAAUAUUACAUUAUCAGUUAAA
Molecule: non-coding RNA, 1377 nt
Organism: Tetranychus urticae (two-spotted spider mite)
Lineage: Eukaryota; Metazoa; Arthropoda; Arachnida; Trombidiformes; Tetranychidae
Source: RefSeq, a predicted model, not a curated record